This is a long non-coding RNA of Eriocheir sinensis (Chinese mitten crab), 1452 nucleotides long. RefSeq lists it as uncharacterized. The transcript is spliced from 8 exons. NCBI's taxonomy places the organism in Eukaryota, Metazoa, Arthropoda, Malacostraca, Decapoda, Varunidae. The record is from RefSeq and is a predicted model, not a curated record.
GUGGGGCUCGUUAGCCGUGGUAGGCAAUCUGCCUAGGAGAGCAAACUCCGAACAACAAACCCGGGCAGGUGAGGUUCGUUAGCCGUGGUAGGCAAUUCACCUAGGAGAGCAAACUCCGAACAAUAAACCCGGGCAGGUUGGGCUCGUGAGCCGUCAUAGGUAAUACACCUAGGAGAGCAAACUCCGAACAAUAAACCCGGGCAGGUUGGGCUCGUGAGCCGUCAUAGGUAAUACACCUAGGAGAGCAAACUCCGAACAAUAAACCCGGGCAGGUUGGGCUCGUGAGCCGUCAUAGGUAAUACACCUAGGAGAGCAAACUCCGAACAAUAAACCCGGGCAGGUGAGGUUCGUUAGCCGUGGUAGGCAAUUCACCUAGGAGAGCAAACUCCGAACAAUAAACCCGGGCAGGUGGAGCUCGUCAGCCGUGGUAGGCAGUCUGCCUAGGAGAGCAAACUCCGAACAAUAAACCCGGGCAGGUGGAGCUCGUCAGCCGUGGUAGGCAGUCUGCCUAGGAGAGCAAACUCCGAACAAUAAACCCGGGCAGGUGGAGCUCGUCAGCCGUGGUAGGCAGUCUGCCUAGGAGAGCAAACUCCGAACAAUAAACCCGGGCAGGUGGAGCUCGUCAGCCGUGGUAGGCAGUCUGCCUAGGAGAGCAAACUCCGAACAAUAAACCGGGGCAGGUGGAGCUCGUCAGCCGUGGUAGGCAGUCUGCCUAGGAGAGCAAACUCCGAACAAUAAACCGGGGCAGGUGGAGCUCGUCAGCCGUGGUAGGCAGUCUGCCUAGGAGAGCAAACUCCGAACAAUAAACCCGGGCAGGUGGAGCUCGUCAGCCGUGGUAGGCAGUCUGCCUAGGAGAGCAAACUCCGAACAAUAAACCCGGGCAGGUGGGGCUCGUUAGCCGUGGUAGGCAAUCUGCCUAGGAGAGCAAACUCCGAACAACAAACCCGGGCAGGUGAGGUUCGUUAGCCGUGGUAGGCAAUUCACCUAGGAGAGCAAACUCCGAACAAUAAACCCGGGCAGGUUGGGCUCGUGAGCCGUCAUAGGUAAUACACCUAGGAGAGCAAACUCCGAACAAUAAACCCGGGCAGGUGGAGGUCGUUAGCGAAAGCAGUUCAUCUAGGAGAGCAAACUCCGAUUACAAAACCGGGCAGGUGGAGGUCGUUAGCGUGAGCAGUUCACCUAGGAGAGCAAACUCCGAUUACAAACCCGGGCAGGUGAGGUUCGUUAGCCGUGGUAGGCAAUUCACCUAGGAGAGCAAACUCCGAACAAUAAACCCGGGCAGGUGGAGCUCGUCAGCCGUGGUAGGCAGUCUGCCUAGGAGAGCAAACUCCGAACAAUAAACCCGGGCAGGUGGAGCUCGUCAGCCGUGGUAGGCAGUCUGCCUAGGAGAGCAAACUCCGAACAAUAAACCGGGGCUUGUGGUGCUCGUUAGAUGUCGUAGACAAUCCACGU